Molecule: ribosomal RNA, 425 nt
Filed under: uncultured bacterium
Lineage: Bacteria
Description: bacterial SSU rRNA
Rfam family: Bacterial small subunit ribosomal RNA
Source: RNAcentral
GUGGGGAAUCUUAGACAAUGGGCGCAAGCCUGAUCUAGCCAUGCCGCGUGAGUGAUGAAGGCCCUAGGGUUGUAAAGCUCUUUCAGCUGGGAAGAUAAUGACGGUACCAGCAGAAGAAGCCCCGGCUAACUCCGUGCCAGCAGCCGCGGUAAUACGGAGGGGGCUAGCGUUGUUCGGAAUUACUGGGCGUAAAGCGCGCGUAGGCGGACUGAAAAGUUGGGGGUGAAAUCCCGGGGCUCAACCUCGGAACUGCCUUCAAAACUAUCAGUCUGGAGUUCGAGAGAGGUGAGUGGAAUUCCGAGUGUAGAGGUGAAAUUCGUAGAUAUUCGGAGGAACACCAGUGGCGAAGGCGGCUCACUGGCUCGAUACUGACGCUGAGGUGCGAAAGCGUGGGGAGCAAACAGGAUUAGAUACCCGGGUAGUCC